Molecule: long non-coding RNA, 338 nt
Organism: Cygnus olor (mute swan)
Lineage: Eukaryota; Metazoa; Chordata; Aves; Anseriformes; Anatidae
Exons: 3
Source: RefSeq, a predicted model, not a curated record
AUUUGGAUGACAACAAUGGUGUUUUUAGUGCAACAAGUAGAAUUUAAAAAAGCAGUCUGGCAGAAGAUCUGAGAAGCAGAAGGUGAAAAUAAAUAAAAUGGAGCAGUGAAGAAUGCAGAAAGAAACAGAAAGCGUUCAAAGGCAUGUAAACGCGAUGAAGGCUGGAGCCAAAUUCAUGUGCAAACAUCUUAGAAGAACUGCUUAGUGAGUCCAUCCAAAAUCCUGCUCCUGAUGAACAGAGGGCUGGUGUUUGCAGAACAAGAAAGCACAUAAUAACACUUGGAAAGCACACAAGCACUCAUGGCCCAGCUCCGAGUGAGGCGACGUUGAAGCACAAA